AAGAAAGCCAUGUCGAAAAAGGAAGGAGCUUUGCUUCAAUUCGCUCCGAUGCAGAGUUCCGUCGAUGAAGGCUUCUGGCACAGAUUCUCUUCCUUGAAGCUCAACAAGCUCGGCAUUGAUGAUUCUCCAUUACCCAUCAUUGGUUUCUAUGCACCUUGCUCACAUUCUCAAGUGUCAAAUCAAUUAACUCUGCUAGCUGAGUCUUUGCCGUCUGAAUCAAGUGAUUCUUCAUUGGUACCAGAACCAUGCUCUGGUAACAGGAACAAGUGUUCUGUACCUGGGGUUCUUUACAAUACCAAUACUGUAGAAGGUUUUCAUGCGCUUGAUAAGAUGAAACUCUUGAAGGAAGAGAUAUGGAAUGACAUAGUAACUGGAAAAGCUGCGGAGGACUGUGCAAUGCUUUCAAGAUUCCUUCUUAAUUGCACGCAUGCUUAUGGUGUGUAUUGAGAGCUAAGCCUCAAAGUGGUCAUUGAAAUUACACUCGUGCCUCAUAGUAGUUCCUGAACUUAAUAGUUACUCAUAUUCGUCCAAGUUGCACUCUGGGACUCAACUCGUCCUUCCGGCACAUUCUGUCCAUUUGGCACCACCGGAAAGCUGAUCUGGACUUGAAGGUGACACGCUGGCAAAGCUAAAACGAUGCAACAUUGGUGGUGGCGCGUAAAUGCCCUAAAACGAUAUCGUUUCACUCUAAAACUGCUUUUGAAGAAUCCUCCCUCAAACUUCAGGGAUCACUUUGUUUGCACUUUGGAAGGUGAGUGUAAUGGUGCGAGGGAGAAUAAAAAAUCGCAAGAUGAGGAUGGAAGACAACAGUGAAGCUGAUUAGCGCUGAGGGUUUCGAAUUCGUUGUUGAUAAGGAAGCUGCUAUGGUUUCACAGACCAUACACAACAUGCUUACCUCUCCAGGGAAUUUCGCUGAGAGGCGGCACGGCGAGGUUACCUUCCCUGAGAUCUGCACCACCAUUCUCGAGAAGAUUUGCCAGUAUUUUUAUUGGCAUCUCCAAUUCGCAAGGUUUCAAACUGGAUUCUUCAUGUGUCAGAGUCUGGGGUUUUGCUGAAUUCAGUGCUCCAUCAAAGAGAGAUUGUUUUACAUGGUUUUAUGUAUCAUGUGGUUGCACUUUUCAUUGUGUGCCCUUCUUUUAUCAAAUGACAAGAGAAAACUACUGGACAGCUUGAAAAUUCGAGAUACUACUGAAAAAUCGCAUUGCUAAUUGAGUUGGCCCUUUUUUCUAAUUGAUGUUUUGGACCCCUGCCCCCCUUCUCUACCCUAACCAGCAUCAAUGUUAGUCUUUCUUAUGUGUUGCAAUGUAAGCUAUACUUUCCUUUAGGAAGUAAUUGAAAGCUCUGUAGCUCUGAUCUGAAAUCUCUUAAUUCAUGCGAUGUUAUUUUUAGCAAAAUAGUUCUAUUGACUUGAAUAGUGAAAAUCUUGCUGUUGUUAGUGGGAAAGAGACAGAGCUUCCUAUUGAAUCUGAAUUAACUUUGGAGCUAAUGAUGGCUGCCAAUUACCUACAUACAUGAGCAUUUCCUAGGGGUAGUAGCUCUCCAUUCUCUGUGCAGAUGAAGCUGUUUCUUGGAAGAGCUUUCAUAAAGAUGUGACCGUAUAAUUUGCUGCCUUUGGAGACUGUAUCUUUGCAGGAACUAUAGUAUGUGUGUAAUAUGUGUAAUAUGUGUAAUCUAAUGGUCAUAGGACUCAACUUGAAAAAGUUGCAUAUGAGUGGCUAUUAGAUGCUUACUGUCGAUGAAGCCAUACAUUGUGUACAUGAACUGAUUCAAAGAAAAUGUUAAUUCAAAGUGAGCAUUACUAUCUCCAAAUAAUAGGAAAAAGUGAGCAUUACUAUCAACAAGCACACCAGCUGCCACCACCCAACCAGCCAGCACCCCACCUGCAAGCACUCCAUUUGCAAGCACUCUACCAGCAAGCACUAAUCCACCUAAUUCAAUGCAAGGUGCAACACAGGAAACUAUAUCAAGGCUUGCAAGCAUAAUGAGAUUUGUGUCUCUAAUCUUGAAUUCAAUCCACCCAAAACCAAGAAUUAAUGACUUAGAUUAUUAUGUUUAGGAACAAAUGGUGUCUAUUUAUCUGAUUUGGUGAAGUAACUUACUUUGUUGCUUCCUUAAUUAGAGUCCUAGUGUUGGGGAUUUUAGUGUUGGAAACUUAUGAGGUCUAUAUUUUGACAACUCUGAUAUACUUGGUGACUAUUGU
RNA transcript from Arachis duranensis, 2200 nucleotides. It is a transcript of the gene named ubiquitin-like modifier-activating enzyme atg7, with no coding region annotated. Lineage: Eukaryota; Viridiplantae; Streptophyta; Magnoliopsida; Fabales; Fabaceae. The record is from RefSeq and is a predicted model, not a curated record. The transcript has 6 exons.